AGUCAACCUACCCUAUGGACGGGAAUAAUCUCGGGAAACUGAGGAUAAUUCCAGAUAGAACACUAUGCCUGGAACGGUUUGUGUUCCAAAUGAUUUAUCGCCGUAGGAUGGGACUGCGUCCUAUCAGUUUGUUGGUGAGGUAAUGGCCCACCAAGACUAUUACAGGUACGGGCUCUGAGAGGAGUAGCCCGGAGAUGGGUACUGAGACACGGACCCAGGCCCUAUGGGGCGCAGCAGGCGAGAAAACUUUGCAAUGUGCGAAAGCACGACAAGGUUAAUCCGAGUGGUUCCUGCUAAAGGAACCUUUUGACGGUCCUAAAAACACCGUUGAAUAAGGGGUGGGCAAGUUCUGGUGUCAGCCGCCGCGGUAAAACCAGCACCUCAAGUGGUCAGGAUGAUUAUUGGGCCUAAAGCAUCCGUAGCCGGCUCUGUGAGUUUUCGGUUAAAUCUGUGCGCUCAACGUACAGGCUGCCGGGAAUACUGCAGAGCUAGGGAGUGGGAGAGGUAGACGGUACUUGGUAGGAAGGGGUAAAAUCCUUUGAUCUAUUGAUGACCACCUGUGGCGAAAGCGGUCUACCAGAACACGUCCGACGGUGAGGGAUGAAAGCUGGGGGAGCAAACCGGAUUAGAUACCCGGGUAGUCCCAGCUGUAAACCAUGCAAACUCAAUGAUGCAUUGGCUUGAAGCCAAUGCAGUGUU
RNAcentral lists this ribosomal RNA (699 nucleotides) under uncultured marine archaeon. RNAcentral's name for it is "bacterial SSU rRNA". It matches the Rfam family "Archaeal small subunit ribosomal RNA", at positions 102 to 802 of the family's 1478-position model. The record is from RNAcentral.